This 454-nucleotide ribosomal RNA is filed under the name uncultured bacterium. Its description in RNAcentral is "partial 16S ribosomal RNA". It matches the Rfam family "Bacterial small subunit ribosomal RNA", at positions 341 to 792 of the family's 1533-position model. The record is from RNAcentral.
ACGGGAGGCAGCAGUGAGGAAUAUUGGUCAAUGGGCGGAAGCCUGAACCAGCCAAGUCGCAUGAAGGAUGAAGGUAUUAUGUAUUGUAAACUUCUUUCGCCGGGGGAUAAACCUGGCCACGUGUGGCCAGCUGAAGGUACCCGGUGAAUAAGCAUAGGCUAACUCCGUGCCAGCAGCCGCGGUAAUACGGAGGAUGCGAGCGUUAUCCGGAUUUAUUGGGUUUAAAGGGUGCGCAGGCGGGCCUUUAAGUCAGCGGUGAAAUCCCGUAGCUCAACUACGGAACUGCCGUUGAUACUGGAGGCCUUGAGUCGUGUCGAGGAUGGCGGAAUGCAGCGUGUAGCGGUGAAAUGCUUAGAUAUGCUGCAGAACUCCGAUUGCGAAGGCAGCUGUCCAGAGACGAACUGACGCUGAGGCACGAAAGCAUGGGUAUCAAACAGGAUUAGAUACCCUGGUA